AUUGAACGCUGGCGGCAGGCCUAACACAUGCAAGUCGAGCGGAUGAAGGGAGCUUGCUCCUGGAUUCAGCGGCGGACGGGUGAGUAAUGCCUAGGAAUCUGCCUGGUAGUGGGGGAUAACGUCCGGAAACGGGCGCUAAUACCGCAUACGUCCUGAGGGAGAAAGUGGGGGAUCUUCGGACCUCACGCUAUCAGAUGAGCCUAGGUCGGAUUAGCUAGUUGGUGGGGUAAAGGCCUACCAAGGCGACGAUCCGUAACUGGUCUGAGAGGAUGAUCAGUUACACUGGAACUGAGACACGGUCCAGACUCCUACGGGAGGCAGCAGUGGGGAAUAUUGGACAAUGGGCGAAAGCCUGAUCCAGCCAUGCCGCGUGUGUGAAGAAGGUCUUCGGAUUGUAAAGCACUUUAAGUUGGGAGGAAGGGCAGUAAGUUAAUACCUUGCUGUUUUGACGUUACCAACAGAAUAAGCACCGGCUAACUUCGCG
This 484-nucleotide ribosomal RNA is filed under the name uncultured bacterium. RNAcentral describes it as "partial 16S ribosomal RNA". It matches the Rfam family "Bacterial small subunit ribosomal RNA", at positions 30 to 507 of the family's 1533-position model. The record is from RNAcentral.